RNAcentral lists this long non-coding RNA (382 nucleotides) under Homo sapiens (human). RNAcentral's name for it is "non-protein coding lnc-SFPQ-4:1". The record is from RNAcentral. Lineage: Eukaryota; Metazoa; Chordata; Mammalia; Primates; Hominidae.
CACCACACCCAGCACAUUUUGUGUUUUUUUAAGCAGAGAUGGGAUUUCACUAUAUGUUAGCUAGGCUGGUAUUGAACUCCUGACCUCAGGCGAUCUGCCCGCCUCAGCCCCCUAAAGUGCUGGGAUUACGGGUGUGAGCUACCACAGUCACCACAGUCACUUUUAGAAUAUUUUCAUCACCUCAAAAAAAUACACUUAAAGCUAUUGCUCUCCUGUCUCCGUGGCCCCUACUCCCCCUGCAUUCCUAAGCAACCUCUAAUCUACUUCCUGUCUCUAUAGAUUUCCCUGUUCUAGACAUUUCACACUAAUGGAUUCAUACAAUAUGUGAUUUUUCAUGACUGACUUCUUUCACUUAGGAUACUGUUUUCAAGGUUCAGCCAUG